RNAcentral lists this ribosomal RNA (554 nucleotides) under uncultured bacterium. Its description in RNAcentral is "partial 16S ribosomal RNA". It matches the Rfam family "Bacterial small subunit ribosomal RNA", at positions 355 to 900 of the family's 1533-position model. The record is from RNAcentral.
UAGGGAAUCUUCCGCAAUGGACGCAAGUCUGAUGGAGCAACGCCGCGUGAGUGAAGAAGGUUUUCGGACCGUAAAGCUCUGUUGUUGGUGAAGAAGGAUAGAGGUAGUAACUGGCCUUUAUUUGACGGUAAUCAACCAGAAAGUCACGGCUAACUACGUGCCAGCAGCCGCGGUAAUACGUAGGUGGCAAGCGUUGUCCGGAUUUAUUGGGCGUAAAGCGAGCGCAGGCGGAAGAAUAAGUCUGAUGUGAAAGCCCUCGGCUUAACCGAGGAAUUGCAUCGGAAACUGUUUUCUUGAGUGCAGAAGAGGAGAGUAGAACUCCAUGUGUAGCGGUGGAAUGCGUAGAUAUAUGGAAGAAUACCAGUGGCGAAGGCGGCUCUCUGGUCUGCAACUGACGCUGAGGCUCGAAAGCAUGGGUAGCGAACAGGAUUAGAUACCCUGGUAGUCCAUGCCGUAAACGAUGAGUGCUAAGUGUUGGGAGGCUUCCGCCUCUCAGUGCUGCAGCUAACGCAUUAAGCACUCCGCCUGGGGGAGUACGACCGCAAGGUUGAAAC